UACGGGGGGGCAAGCGUUGUUCGGAAUUACUGGGCGUAAAGGGUUCGUAGGUGGCCAACUAAGUCAGACGUGAAAUCCCUCGGCUUAACCGGGGAACUGCGUCUGAUACUGGAUGGCUUGAGUUCGGGAGAGGGAUGCGGAAUUCCAGGUGUAGCGGUGAAAUGCGUAGAUAUCUGGAGGAACACCGGUGGCGAAGGCGGCAUCCUGGACCGAUACUGACGCUGAGGAGCGAAAGCCAGGGGAGCAAACGGG
Molecule: ribosomal RNA, 252 nt
Filed under: uncultured bacterium
Lineage: Bacteria
Description: partial 16S ribosomal RNA
Rfam family: Bacterial small subunit ribosomal RNA
Source: RNAcentral